CACGUAGGCGGUGAAUUAAAGUUGAAAAGUGAAAAUCCCCAAAGCUUAAACUUUUGGAACUAUUUUCAAAACUGGUUUACUGGAGGUCGAUAGGGGAUAGUGGAAUUUCUAGUGUAGAAAUAGAAUUCAUAAAUAUUAGAAGGAACACCAGUGGCGAAGGCGACUAUCUGGAUCGAUACUGACGCUGAGGUGCGAAAGCAUGGGGAGCAAACA
Molecule: ribosomal RNA, 213 nt
Filed under: uncultured bacterium
Lineage: Bacteria
Description: partial 16S ribosomal RNA
Rfam family: Bacterial small subunit ribosomal RNA
Source: RNAcentral